Molecule: ribosomal RNA, 539 nt
Filed under: uncultured bacterium
Lineage: Bacteria
Description: bacterial SSU rRNA
Rfam family: Bacterial small subunit ribosomal RNA
Source: RNAcentral
AAUAGAUACCCUGGUAGUCCACGCCGUAAACGAUGAGUGCUAAGUGUUAGGGGGUUUCCGCCCCUUAGUGCUGCAGCUAACGCAUUAAGCACUCCGCCUGGGGAGUACGGUCGCAAGACUGAAACUCAAAGGAAUUGACGGGGGCCCGCACAAGCGGUGGAGCAUGUGGUUUAAUUCGAAGCAACGCGAAGAACCUUACCAGGUCUUGACAUCCCGCUGACCGUUCUAGAGAUAGAUCUUUCCCUUCGGGGACAGCGGUGACAGGUGGUGCAUGGUUGUCGUCAGCUCGUGUCGUGAGAUGUUGGGUUAAGUCCCGCAACGAGCGCAACCCUUGAUCUUAGUUGCCAGCAUUCAGUUGGGCACUCUAAGGUGACUGCCGGUGAUAAACCGGAGGAAGGUGGGGAUGACGUCAAAUCAUCAUGCCCCUUAUGACCUGGGCUACACACGUGCUACAAUGGACGGUACAGAGGGUCGCAACCCCGCGAGGGUGAGCUAAUCCCAUAAAACCGUUCUCAGUUCGGAUUGUAGGCUGCAACUCG